CCUACGGGGGGCAGCAGUAGGGAAUCUUUCACAAUGGGCGAAAGCCUGAUGGAGCAACGCCGCGUGCAGGAUGAAGGCCUUCGGGUUGUAAACUGCUUUUAUAAGCGAGAAAUAUGAUGGUAACUUAUGAAUAAGGAUCGGCUAACUACGUGCCAGCAGCCGCGGUCAUACGUAGGAUCCGAGCAUUAUCCGGAGGGACUGGGUGUAAAGAGUUGCGUAGGUGGCAUAAUAAGUAGCUAGUGAAAUCUGGUGGCUCAACCAUUCAGACUAUUAGCUAAACUGUUAAGCUCGAGACCGUUAGGGGUAACUGGAAUUUCUAGUGUAGGAGUGAAAUCCGUAGAUAUUAGAAGGAACACCAAUAGCGUAGGCAGGUUGCUGGGACGAUUCUGACACUAAGGCACGAAAGCGUAGGGAGCAAACGGGAUUAGAUACCCCAGUAGUC
RNAcentral lists this ribosomal RNA (442 nucleotides) under uncultured bacterium. RNAcentral describes it as "partial 16S ribosomal RNA". It matches the Rfam family "Bacterial small subunit ribosomal RNA", at positions 338 to 795 of the family's 1533-position model. The record is from RNAcentral.